This 492-nucleotide ribosomal RNA is filed under the name uncultured bacterium. RNAcentral's name for it is "partial 16S ribosomal RNA". It matches the Rfam family "Bacterial small subunit ribosomal RNA", at positions 31 to 507 of the family's 1533-position model. The record is from RNAcentral.
AGGGAACGCUGGCGGUAGGCCUAACACAUGCAAGUCGAACGGCAGCACAGUAAGAGCUUGCUCUUACGGGUGGCGAGUGGCGGACGGGUGAGGAAUACAUCGGAAUCUACUUUUUCGUGGGGGAUAACGUAGGGAAACUUACGCUAAUACCGCAUACGACCUACGGGUGAAAGCAGGGGAGCUUCGGACCUGGCGCGAGUGAAUGAGCCGAUGUCGGAUUAGCUAGUUGGCGGGGUAAAGGCCCACCAAGGCGACGAUCCGUAGCUGGUCUGAGAGGAUGAUCAGCCACACUGGAACUGAGACACGGUCCAGACUCCUACGGGAGGCAGCAGUGGGGCCUCUUGGCCGCUGGGCGCCCGCCUGCUCCCGCCCUCCCGCGUGGGUGAAGAAGGCCUUCGGGUUGUAAAGCCCUUUUGUUGGGAAAGAACAGCAGCAGGUUACUCCCCCGCUGUUCUGCCGGUCCCCCCCGAAUCCGCCCCGGCUCCCUUCGUG